Carlito syrichta (Philippine tarsier) is the source of this 2090-nucleotide RNA transcript. It is a transcript of the gene named serine/threonine kinase 4, with no coding region annotated. NCBI's taxonomy places the organism in Eukaryota, Metazoa, Chordata, Mammalia, Primates, Tarsiidae. The transcript is spliced from 12 exons. The record is from RefSeq and is a predicted model, not a curated record.
CGGAAGUGUGGGAGGGUCUGCGGGGCGGGCUCGGGGAGGUCCGGGAGGAGGAUGGAGCUGUGAGUGGAUCUGGGCGGCUGCCGGUAGCGCCAUGGAGACCGUGCAGCUGAGGAACCCGCCGCGCCGGCAGCUAAAAAAAUUGGAUGAAGACAGUUUAACCAAACAACCAGAAGAAGUGUUUGAUGUCUUAGAGAAACUUGGAGAAGGGUCUUAUGGCAGCGUAUACAAAGCUAUUCACAAAGAAACGGGUCAGAUUGUUGCUAUUAAGCAAGUUCCUGUGGAAUCAGACCUGCAGGAGAUAAUCAAAGAAAUCUCUAUAAUGCAGCAGUGUGACAGCCCUCAUGUAGUCAAAUAUUAUGGCAGUUAUUUUAAGAAUACAGACUUAUGGAUCGUUAUGGAAUACUGUGGGGCUGGUUCCGUGUCUGAUAUCAUUCGAUUACGAAAUAAAACGUUAACAGAAGAUGAAAUAGCUACAAUAUUACAAUCAACUCUUAAAGGCCUGGAGUAUCUUCAUUUUAUGAGAAAAAUACACCGUGAUAUCAAGGCAGGAAAUAUUUUGCUAAAUACAGAAGGACAUGCAAAGCUUGCAGAUUUUGGGGUAGCAGGUCAGCUUACAGAUACCAUGGCCAAGCGGAAUACAGUGAUAGGAACACCAUUUUGGAUGGCUCCAGAAGUGAUUCAGGAAAUUGGAUAUAACUGUGUGGCAGACAUCUGGUCCCUGGGAAUAACUGCCAUAGAAAUGGCCGAAGGAAAGCCUCCAUAUGCUGAUAUCCAUCCGAUGAGGGCAAUCUUCAUGAUUCCUACAAACCCUCCUCCCACAUUCCGAAAGCCAGAGCUAUGGUCUGAUAACUUCAUGGAUUUUGUUAAGCAGUGUCUUGUAAAGAGCCCUGAGCAGAGAGCCACAGCUACUCAGCUUCUACAGCACCCAUUUGUCAAGAGUGCCAAAGGAGUGUCAGUGCUGCGAGACUUAAUUAAUGAAGCCAUGGAUGUGAAACUGAAACGCCAGGAAGCCCAGCAGCGGGAAGUAGACCAGGAUGAUGAAGAAAACUCAGAGGAGGAUGAAAUGGAUUCUGGCACGAUGGUUCGAGCAGUGGGUGAUGAGACAGGUACUGUCCGAGUAGCCAGCACCAUGAGUGAUGGAGCCAAUACUAUGAUUGAACACGAUGACACAUUGCCAUCACAGCUGGGCACCAUGGUGAUCAAUGCAGAGGAUGAAGAAGAGGAGGGGACUAUGAAAAGAAGGGAUGAGACCAUGCAACCUGCAAAGCCAUCUUUUCUUGAAUAUUUUGAACAAAAAGAAAAGGAAAACCAGAGCAACAGCUUUGGUAAGAGUGUACCUGGCCCACUGAAAAAUUCUUCAGAUUGGAAAGUACCACAGGAUGGAGACUAUGAGUUUAAAACUAAGCCAAGAACAGCAGUCUGAAAAAGACAUAUGUAUCCAAAAUUGCCAGGGAAACCUGCUGUGCAGAUAUGCUUUCUGAGAAACCACAUGCUUAAGAGUUGGACAGUGGAGGACCUUCAGAAGAGGCUCUUAGCCCUAGACCCCAUGAUGGAGCAGGAGAUUGAAGAGAUCCGGCAAAAGUACCAGUCCAAGCGGCAACCCAUCCUGGAUGCUAUUGAGGCUAAGAAGAGGCGGCAACAGAACUUCUAAACAAAGGCCAGGCCAAGAGGGCCCUGCCCCCACCCAGGCCUCUGGUGAAUUCUGGGUGGCUCACCUCACGUUUGUUAGCCAGCUCUUCUGCUUUGUCAUUUCUCCACAGCACCUUUGUGAACUCAGGAAUGUGCGCCAGUGGAAAGGGCUACCGUGGCAGCCAGCGUGCCAUCUUGAUGAUGUGUGUACAUUGGUCAGGUAUAUUGUCUCAAAGCAUUUCUAUUGGCGCUUUUAACUCAGAGGUUUAAACCCCAGGAUCAGAGACUUCUGGUUGAGUAAUAGCUGGGAAAGUUUUACAUUGUCCUUUUGUUUUUCUUCUCCCAAUAGCUUUCAAUUGUUCUUUCUGGAAGAGUUUUUAAAAAUAUAUAAAUAUGCAUAUAUAUAUAUAUAAAUUAUAAAUAGAUUUCCCACUUAGUGUGGUGACAUCUCUGUACAGGUA